CAAUAAGGUCCCUGUAGGUUUGGGGACUGCAGAUGUCGUUUUAUGGAUCUGCGCUGUGAUUGCCAGCCAGGCCAAAACUUCCCAGUGAGUGCAGGCAUCGUUCCAAGGCUUUGAUAAUUGUUCGUGGAAACUCUCUACCAUCAGGACACAAUCCAGAGCCUUCAUAGUGGAGUCCUACCUUGCUGGUGAUACCCUCUCAAGUCAUUUCUCAGACCUCUGGUUUGCUGCCCCCUGGCAGACAGAAAAGGUGGAGUUCCAGAGUCCCACAAAGGAUGCUGGGAUCUUCGGUUCUGUCCACAGUGGAAAGAACACGACUUCAACACUUGCCUGCAAGACUUUAAGGCAGAGAAUUCAACAAGCCUGGAAAAGAGGGAUCCUCAGUUGACAGACAAGCAAGAAGAAUGAAGAAAAAGAGCCACUGAACCCAGAGGCUCAGCUGGAGGUCACCAUCUCAACCUCGGCAGCAUGCAGACCAGAUGUUUCUUUCUGUUUGCGGUGGCCACAGAUUCUGAGGUGGGUGAUCAGAAAGGCCCAGGCUCCUGCCCUCCCAGAGUCUGCUUCUCUAGGUUCCUGUCACUUCUCCAAGCUCUCGACAUCCUGCCAAUAAAUUCCUUUUUGCUGAA
Non-coding RNA from Rattus norvegicus (Norway rat), 623 nucleotides. The record is from RefSeq and is a predicted model, not a curated record. NCBI's taxonomy places the organism in Eukaryota, Metazoa, Chordata, Mammalia, Rodentia, Muridae.